RNAcentral lists this small nucleolar RNA (89 nucleotides) under Coniochaeta ligniaria NRRL 30616. RNAcentral describes it as "A. fumigatus snoRNA Afu_300". It matches the Rfam family "A. fumigatus snoRNA Afu_300". The record is from Rfam by way of RNAcentral. Lineage: Eukaryota; Fungi; Ascomycota; Sordariomycetes; Coniochaetales; Coniochaetaceae.
UCUUGUGAUGAUUCAAUUUUUGCUUCGGCAAGUUGGAAUUACCGACUGAGAUUCCGAUCUUUGACGAAAACAAUUGGCUGUUUCUGAUA